Molecule: long non-coding RNA, 2471 nt
Organism: Hemicordylus capensis (graceful crag lizard)
Lineage: Eukaryota; Metazoa; Chordata; Lepidosauria; Squamata; Cordylidae
Exons: 9
Source: RefSeq, a predicted model, not a curated record
GGCAGUUAAACGGUCACACUGGAAGCUCUGAGAGUCAGAAAGGGCUUGGAUGCGCUCCUGACAGGAACAGUUAGGGCGAGUGCUAGGAUCUCUAGUGAGAGUCUCUGGAUCGGCGGGUUGGAUAUUGGGAGUCAGAUUGCCUUGUGAACAUCCAUCCUCUCAACUCCAAUGAAUGCACAAUGCAAUAAUAAGUGUUCGAUGGUGGGACCAUGAUCAUUUGAAUCACUUGCCCUAGCUCCAACCCAAGGAACCUAAAUAAAGCCAAGCAAUGGAAUCACAGUUCUCAUUCUCAUGCCCAGCAGUAGCACUGGCAGAUUCCUGUACAUCAUGGAUUUCCAAGGUGUAAUGACAGACCCUGCAGCAGUUACUCAGUGCUUUUCACUAUGGAACACUUCCCCAAAACACAGCUUGAUAAAAUAAUAGAGACUUGUCUCAAUGACAGUGUGGUUUCUAACAUCUUCAGCUACAAUUCUGCUCUUGCCAUCACAGUAAUUGAAAUGAUGUUCUUCCCUCUCAGGACAAGGGCAGAUGUACUGCAAUUUAUUCUGCUGAGUUUUCUCUGCCUUCUUCUUUGCUGUCAACUAACCGGCCCCAAAAUUAUUAAGUGUUGAGUAGGAAUUCAAGUUGUAAGAAAGCUGUGUGUCGGCUACUGGGAGGAAACUGCCCGGAAUGCAAUCCAGGGAACAACUGAAAAGACUGUCACCAUCAAUGAAAAGGCACUCCACUCUAAGCCAGGCAGGAGGAAGCCCCAGCACUUCGGUUCCUUGGAGACCACCAGAGCAGACAAACAUCUGUGGAGCAAUAGGUGAGUUGAAGACUUGAACACUACUGCAGAGGGGAGGUUCAGGGAGGUUUAAUAGAUGACAACAGAUCACUACCAGAUCAUCAGUUACAGGUGAGCAACCUGUUUAUCUGGGGCGUGAUCAGCUGAAUCCAUUAGAAUGGUUGUUUAGUUAGCUCCUUUAGGAGAAAGAAGCAGUAUUGUCACUGUAACACCCUUUUGAGAACACCUCUCCCAAAAUUUGCCUCCGCUGCAGAAUGCAAAUCAAUGGCAUAGUGCUUUAUGAAGGGCUGUUCUGAGGACCAGGUUGCAGCCCUACAAAUGUCCUGAAAUGAUAUGCCAGAUAAAUGAGCUGCCGAGGCACUGUAAGCUCUGGUUGAAUGUGCCCUGAUAGACUUAGGCAGCUGUACUUUUUGUAACUUGUAAGUCAUUAGGAUUGACUCUCCAGUGGAAUAGACAAGGCCUGACCCAUACAACUCUCUUUGUAGGAUAUGAACAUUUUUUUGGUAUUUCUAAUCAUUUGUUCUUACAGGUAGAAUAGAAGAGCCCUUCUGACAUCCAGGGAAUGCGAGGCCUUUUCAAGAGCUGUGUCCAGAGUGCUGAAGAAGGUGUUGUGUGACGCCUACCCGACCUUGAUGACGUUGCACAGUCUAUCACCAGGGAGUCUGGUACAGGAUGUUUCAAUAAAUCCAGACCCAAUGCAGACACCAUUUCUAUAAGCUGAACGUGAUAAGCCUUCAUUUCUUCUGAGGGAGACACAUGGGAAGGCGUUGCCACAUCAGGUGAUGGGUCUGGAACUCACUCAGAAACACAAGGAACCAGAACGAGGAGCCACAGAAACCAAAGAACCGAUGCCUACAGCAGUCACAAAGGAACUGAAGUGCUGGUGCUUCCUCCCACUUUAAAUAGCUAUGUGGUCAUGUGGGGUGGGGCACAAGUACCAAGAGGAGCUGUGGUACUCCACACCGACAGGCUUCAGCGCAGGCUGCAGAGCCCAUUCUAAUGGAUUCAACGGAUCACGCUCCAAAUCUUGAAGUUAUGCUAGAAUAUGACACAUUUAAUUUACUUACUUACUAUAUUUCUAUUCCGCCUGACAUGUGCAUCAUAGGCAGUAUACAUAAGUUAAAAUAAAACAAAUCUAAAAACAGACUAAACAAUUAUGAUUAAAACAAUUAUGAUAUAAAACCAGUUAAGAUAUUGAUAACAAUGCUCUCCCGAGGAAAUAUUGGACCCUCUUCAUGUACCUAACAGCAGCAGCAAGACUGAUAUUUGCACGCAAAUGGAAAGAUAGUCAAUGCCCAUCUAAAGGGGAUUGGAUCCUUAAAAUACUAGAAUUGGCAGAAAUGGCGAAAUUAACAUCACUACUAAGAAAUAAAUUUGAAGAUUUCAAAAAAGAAUGGGACCCUCUUCUUGUCUAUUUAAAAAUACACCAUAAAAUGGAUUUUUCUCAGGCCUUUGAGGGCUAUUAACAAAUGUGUCAAAAAUAUUCUUAAGUUUAUAUGAUUUAUUGAGGAGAGAAUGUUUAAUCUACAGGCAAGAAAUGGUUAUUGUCAAUAACACUUGUUCCAAUGAUUGAGAAGGAAGUCUUCAUCGUAUGUCUUCGUGAAUGUUUGUAUAAGUUGUGUUUGUCCUUUUGUGUUGUGAAACCUGAAUAAAAAGUAUAUUAAGAAAAAAUUAAUUAAAAGCUUGA